RNAcentral lists this non-coding RNA (30 nucleotides) under Mus musculus (house mouse). The record is from RNAcentral. Lineage: Eukaryota; Metazoa; Chordata; Mammalia; Rodentia; Muridae.
UAAAGAGAAUCUAUAAGUCUGAGCCAUUUU